AGAUUGAACGCUGGCGGCAGGCCUAACACAUGCAAGUCGAGCGGCAGCACGGGUACUUGUACCUGGUGGCGAGCGGCGGACGGGUGAGUAAUGCCUAGGAAUCUGCCUGGUAGUGGGGGAUAACGCUCGGAAACGGACGCUAAUACCGCAUACGUCCUACGGGAGAAAGCAGGGGACCUUCGGGCCUUGCGCUAUCAGAUGAGCCUAGGUCGGAUUAGCUAGUUGGUGAGGUAAUGGCUCACCAAGGCGACGAUCCGUAACUGGUCUGAGAGGAUGAUCAGUCACACUGGAACUGAGACACGGUCCAGACUCCUACGGGAGCAGCAGUGGGAAUAUUGGACAAGUGGGCGAAAGCCUGAUCCAGCCAUCGCCGCGUGUGUAGAAGUAAGGUC
This 392-nucleotide ribosomal RNA is filed under the name uncultured soil bacterium. Its description in RNAcentral is "bacterial SSU rRNA". It matches the Rfam family "Bacterial small subunit ribosomal RNA", at positions 26 to 417 of the family's 1533-position model. The record is from RNAcentral.